CACCAUUAAGUCAUGCUAAAUUACUGAAAUCUUCACAAUUCCAGCUUUUUAGUUAAAUUUUAUACGGUUUUCGUGUUAAACGAAAGUGGUCGCAUUCGUGUUCAUCUUUAAUAUUGAAAUGUAAGUUGUAUUUUAUGAUAAUACAUAACAUAUAUAAAGGUUGAGGAUGAACACGGAUGCGGCCACUUUUAUUUUUGACAAAAACCAUCGGAAAAGUUACAUUUUUCGGCAUAUUUGGUAGAUUAUUCAUAUUUGAGCUUGAGUCGGAUCGUUUUUAAUGACUAAAUCAGUUAAAAUCUUUCACAUAAACUAAUUGAUUCAAAUGAAAUAGACACUUAAGGGUUUAAAAAGUGGUCAAAAUCUUUCGUCAGAUGAACCUGAAAUUUGAGGACAAAAUCGGUCCUUACCGGACCUACUCCU
Molecule: long non-coding RNA, 420 nt
Filed under: Mytilus galloprovincialis (Mediterranean mussel)
Lineage: Eukaryota; Metazoa; Mollusca; Bivalvia; Mytilida; Mytilidae
Source: RNAcentral